This 443-nucleotide ribosomal RNA is filed under the name uncultured bacterium. RNAcentral's name for it is "partial 16S ribosomal RNA". It matches the Rfam family "Bacterial small subunit ribosomal RNA", at positions 338 to 795 of the family's 1533-position model. The record is from RNAcentral.
CCUACGGGAGGCAGCAGUGGGGAAUAUUGGGCAAUGGGCGCAAGCCUGACCCAGCAACGCCGCGUGAAGGAAGAAGUCUUUCGGGUUGUAAACUUCUUUUCUCAGGGACGAAGCAAGUGACGGUACAUGAGGAAUAAGCCACGGCUAACUACGUGCCAGCAGCCGCGGUAAUACGUAGGUGGCAAGCGUUAUACGGAUUUACUGGGUGUAAAGGGCGUGUAGGCGGGACUGCAAGUCAGAUGUGAAAACCACGGGCUCAACCUGGGUCCUGCAUUUGAAACUGUAGUUCGUGAGUACUGGAGAGGCAGACGGAAUUCCUAGUGUAGCGGUGAAAUGCGUAGAUAUUAGGAGGAACACCAGUGGCGAAGGCGGUCUGCUGGACAGCAACUGACGCUGAGGCGCGAAAGCGUGGGGAGCAAACAGGAUUAGAUACCCCUGUAGUC